This 497-nucleotide ribosomal RNA is filed under the name uncultured bacterium. Its description in RNAcentral is "partial 16S ribosomal RNA". It matches the Rfam family "Bacterial small subunit ribosomal RNA", at positions 28 to 507 of the family's 1533-position model. The record is from RNAcentral.
GAUGAACGCUGGCGGCGUGCCUAAUACAUGCAAGUCGAGCGAACAGACGAGGAGCUUGCUCCUCUGACGUUAGCGGCGGACGGGUGAGUAACACGUGGAUAACCUACCUAUAAGACUGGGAUAACUUCGGGAAACCGGAGCUAAUACCGGAUAAUAUAUUGAACCGCAUGGUUCAAUAGUGAAAGACGGUUUUGCUGUCACUUAUAGAUGGAUCCGCGCCGCAUUAGCUAGUUGGUAAGGUAACGGCUUACCAAGGCAACGAUGCGUAGCCGACCUGAGAGGGUGAUCGGCCACACUGGAACUGAGACACGGUCCAGACUCCUACGGGAGGCAGCAGUAGGGAAUCUUCCGCAAUGGGCGAGAGCCUGACGGAGCAACGCCGCGUGAGUGAUGAAGGUCUUCGGAUCGUAAAACUCUGUUAUUAGGGAAGAACAAAUGUGUAAGUAACUACGCACGUCUUGACGGUACCUAAUCAGAAAGCCACGGCUAACUACGUG